AACGAACGCUGGCGGCGUGGAUAAGACAUGCAAGUCGAACGCUGAUUCGAGGGUAGCAAUAUUCUCGGGUCAGAGUGGCGCAAGGGUGCGUAACACGUGGGCAAUCUACCGCGAAGACCGGAAUAACCUGCUGAAAGGCGGGCUAAUGCCGGAUGUGACUGUCUGGAGGAUUCUUCGGACACUCAAAGUUGGGGACCGUAAGGCCUGACACUUCGCGAUGAGCCCGCGGCCUAUCAGCUAGUUGGCGGGGUAACGGCCCACCAAGGCUAAGACGGGUAGCUGGUCUGAGAGGACGACCAGCCACACUGGAACUGAGACACGGUCCAGACACCUACGGGUGGCAGCAGUCGAGAAUUUUUCACAAUGGGCGAAAGCCUGAUGGAGCGACGCCGCGUGGGGGAUGAAGGGCUUCGGCUCGUAAACCCCUGUCAUUCGAGAACAAACCCUACGAUUUAAUAGAUCGUGGGCUGAUAGUAUCGGAAGAGGAAGGGACGGC
Molecule: ribosomal RNA, 496 nt
Filed under: uncultured bacterium
Lineage: Bacteria
Description: bacterial SSU rRNA
Rfam family: Bacterial small subunit ribosomal RNA
Source: RNAcentral